AGUGAACGCUGGCGGUAGGCCUAACACAUGCAAGUCGAACGGCAGCACAGUAAGAGCUUGCUCUUACGGGUGGCGAGUGGCGGACGGGUGAGGAAUACAUCGGAAUCUACUUUUUCGUGGGGGAUAACGUAGGGAAACUUACGCUAAUACCGCAUACGACCUACGGGUGAAAGCAGGGGAUCUUCGGACCUUGCGCGAUUGAAUGAGCCGAUGUCGGAUUAGCUAGUUGGCGGGGUAAAGGCCCACCAAGGCGACGAUCCGUAGCUGGUCUGAGAGGAUGAUCAGCCACACUGGAACUGAGACACGGUCCAGACUCCUGCGGGAGGCAGCAGUGGGGAAUAUUGGACAAUGGGCGCAAGCCUGAUCCAGCCAUACCGCGUGGGUGAAGAAGGCCUUCGGGUUGUAAAGCCCUUUUGUUGGGAAAGAAAAGCAGCAGGUUAAUACCCCGCUGUUCGGACGGUACCCAAAGAAUAAGCACCGGCUAACUUCGU
This 491-nucleotide ribosomal RNA is filed under the name uncultured bacterium. RNAcentral's name for it is "partial 16S ribosomal RNA". It matches the Rfam family "Bacterial small subunit ribosomal RNA", at positions 29 to 506 of the family's 1533-position model. The record is from RNAcentral.